GCAGCUGCUCCCUGAUCUCCAUCAGUACUUGAGUUUUUGGAGCAUUGAAAGGGGCGUAGCUGUGGAAUCUUCCUGGGGGAGAGCUCCGUCGAACUCUACGGUCUGGGCAUCUCUGCCUACGAGCUCGGUGGGAAGUUCGGACAUGCUUGUAUCCGGAGGGAGUUCGAGAACGUGACUGAGCUUUACUCGACCCUUUUUCAGCUGCGGGCUUGCUGGAGUCACCCA
Molecule: long non-coding RNA, 225 nt
Filed under: Elaeis guineensis (African oil palm)
Lineage: Eukaryota; Viridiplantae; Streptophyta; Magnoliopsida; Arecales; Arecaceae
Description: long non-coding RNA (EGUI_LNC082478)
Source: RNAcentral